RNAcentral lists this ribosomal RNA (497 nucleotides) under uncultured bacterium. Its description in RNAcentral is "partial 16S ribosomal RNA". It matches the Rfam family "Bacterial small subunit ribosomal RNA", at positions 28 to 507 of the family's 1533-position model. The record is from RNAcentral.
GAUGAACGCUGGCGGCGUGCCUAAUACAUGCAAGUCGAGCGAACAGACCAGGAGCUUGCUCCUCUGACGUUAGCGGCGGACGGGUGAGUAACACGUGGAUAAUCUACCUAUAAGACUGGGAUAACUUCGGGAAACCGGAGCUAAUACCGGAUAAUAUAUUGAACCGCAUGGUUCAAUAGUGAAAGACGGUUUUGCUGUCCCUUCUCGAUGGAUCCGGGCUGCAUUAGCUAGUUGGGAGGGUAACGGCUUACCAAGGCAACCAUGCGUAGCCGAUCUGCGAGGGGGGUCGGCCACCCUGGAACGGAGACGCGGUCCAGACCACUACGGGAGGCAGCAGUAGGGAAUCGUCCGCAAUAGGCGGGAGCAUGGCGGAGCAACGCCGCGUGAGUGAUAAAAGUCUUCGGAUCGGAAAACUCUGUUAUUAGGGAAGAACAAAUGUGUAAGUAACUAUGCACGUCUUGACGGUACCUAAUCAGAAAGCCACGGCUAACUACGUG